CGUGUAGGCGGCUCAUCAAGUCUGGUGUGAAAACGCAAGGCUUAACCUUGCGUAGGCGCUGGAAACUGGUGGGCUUGAGUUCCUGAGGGGAAGCUGGAAUUCCAGGUGUAGGGGUGAAAUCUGUAGAUAUCUGGAAGAACACCGGUGGCGAAGGCGAGCUUCUAUCAGAGGACUGACGCUGAGGCGCGAAAGCGUGGGGGGCAAACAGGAUUAGAUACCCUGGUAGUCCACGCUGUAAACGAUGUGCACUAGGCGUGGGGCCCGUACGGGUUCUGUGCCGUAGUUAACGUGUUAAGUGCACCGCCUGGGGAGUAUGCUCGCAAGGGUGAA
This 330-nucleotide ribosomal RNA is filed under the name uncultured bacterium. RNAcentral describes it as "bacterial SSU rRNA". It matches the Rfam family "Bacterial small subunit ribosomal RNA", at positions 568 to 898 of the family's 1533-position model. The record is from RNAcentral.